Molecule: ribosomal RNA, 408 nt
Filed under: uncultured bacterium
Lineage: Bacteria
Description: partial 16S ribosomal RNA
Rfam family: Bacterial small subunit ribosomal RNA
Source: RNAcentral
GACGAACGCUGGCGGCGUGCUUAACACAUGCAAGUCGAACGAAGUGGCGAACGGGUGAGUAACGCGUAAUCAAACUGCCCUUCAGAGGGGGACAACAGUAGGAAACGACUGCUCAUACCGCAUACUGAAGGAGGGGAUUGCGUCUGAUUAGCUAGUUGGAGGGGGAACGGCCCACCAAGGCGAUGAUCAGUAGCCGGUCUGAGGGGGUGAACGGCCACAUGGGGAGUGAGACACGGCCCAGACUCCUACGGUAGGCCGCAGUGGGGAAUCUUCCGCAAUGGACGAAAGUCUGACGGAGCAACGCCGCGUGAGUGAUGACGGCCUUCGGGUUGUAAAGCUCUGUUAAUCGGGACGCGGUACCGGAAUAGAAAGCCACGGCUAACUACGUGCCAGCAGCCGCGGUAAUUC